ACCGCAUGGUGCAGGGGUAAAAACUCCGGUGGUACAGGAUGGACCCGCGUCUGAUUAGCUGGUUGGUGAGGUAACGGCUCACCAAGGCGACGAUCAGUAGCCGGCUUGAGAGAGUGAACGGCCACAUUGGGACUGAGACACGGCCCAAACUCCUACGGGAGGCAGCAGUGGGGAAUAUUGCACAAUGGGGGAAACCCUGAUGCAGCGACGCCGCGUGAGUGAAGAAGUAUCUCGGUAUGUAAAGCUCUAUCAGCAGGGAAGAAAAUGACGGUACCUGACUAAGAAGCCCCGGCUAACUACGUGCCAGCAGCCGCGGUAAUACGUAGGGGGCAAGCGUUAUCCGGAAUUACUGGGUGUAAAGGGUGCGUAGGUGGUAUGGCAAGUCAGAAGUGAAAACCCAGGGCUUAACUCUGGGACUGCUUUUGAAACUGUCAGACUAGAGUGCAGGAGAGGUAAGCGGAAUUCCUAGUGUAGCGGUGAAAUGCGUAGAUAUUAGGAGGAACAUCAGUGGCGAAGGCGGCUUACUGGACUGAAACUGACACUGAGGCACGAAAGCGUGGGGAGCAAACAGGAUUAGAUACCCUGGUAGUCCACGCCGUA
Molecule: ribosomal RNA, 600 nt
Filed under: uncultured bacterium
Lineage: Bacteria
Description: bacterial SSU rRNA
Rfam family: Bacterial small subunit ribosomal RNA
Source: RNAcentral